Molecule: ribosomal RNA, 1311 nt
Filed under: Paenarthrobacter sp.
Lineage: Bacteria; Bacillati; Actinomycetota; Actinomycetes; Micrococcales; Micrococcaceae
Description: bacterial SSU rRNA
Rfam family: Bacterial small subunit ribosomal RNA
Source: RNAcentral
GAUUAGUGGCGAACGGGUGAGUAACACGUGAGUAACCUGCCCUUGACUCUGGGAUAAGCCUGGGAAACUGGGUCUAAUACCGGAUAUGACCAUCUGACGCAUGUCAUGGUGGUGGAAAGCUUUUGUGGUUUUGGAUGGACUCGCGGCCUAUCAGCUUGUUGGUGGGGUAAUGGCCUACCAAGGCGACGACGGGUAGCCGGCCUGAGAGGGUGACCGGCCACACUGGGACUGAGACACGGCCCAGACUCCUACGGGAGGCAGCAGUGGGGAAUAUUGCACAAUGGGCGGAAGCCUGAUGCAGCGACGCCGCGUGAGGGAUGACGGCCUUCGGGUUGUAAACCUCUUUCAGUAGGGAAGAAGCGAAAGUGACGGUACCUGCAGAAGAAGCGCCGGCUAACUACGUGCCAGCAGCCGCGGUAAUACGUAGGGCGCAAGCGUUAUCCGGAAUUAUUGGGCGUAAAGAGCUCGUAGGCGGUUUGUCGCGUCUGCUGUGAAAGACCGGGGCUCAACUCCGGUUCUGCAGUGGGUACGGGCAGACUAGAGUGCAGUAGGGGAGACUGGAAUUCCUGGUGUAGCGGUGAAAUGCGCAGAUAUCAGGAGGAACACCGAUGGCGAAGGCAGGUCUCUGGGCUGUAACUGACGCUGAGGAGCGAAAGCAUGGGGAGCGAACAGGAUUAGAUACCCUGGUAGUCCAUGCCGUAAACGUUGGGCACUAGGUGUGGGGGACAUUCCACGUUUUCCGCGCCGUAGCUAACGCAUUAAGUGCCCCGCCUGGGGAGUACGGCCGCAAGGCUAAAACUCAAAGGAAUUGACGGGGGCCCGCACAAGCGGCGGAGCAUGCGGAUUAAUUCGAUGCAACGCGAAGAACCUUACCAAGGCUUGACAUGAACCGGAAAGACCUGGAAACAGGUGCCCCGCUUGCGGUCGGUUUACAGGUGGUGCAUGGUUGUCGUCAGCUCGUGUCGUGAGAUGUUGGGUUAAGUCCCGCAACGAGCGCAACCCUCGUUCUAUGUUGCCAGCGCGUUAUGGCGGGGACUCAUAGGAGACUGCCGGGGUCAACUCGGAGGAAGGUGGGGACGACGUCAAAUCAUCAUGCCCCUUAUGUCUUGGGCUUCACGCAUGCUACAAUGGCCGGUACAAAGGGUUGCGAUACUGUGAGGUGGAGCUAAUCCCAAAAAGCCGGUCUCAGUUCGGAUUGGGGUCUGCAACUCGACCCCAUGAAGUCGGAGUCGCUAGUAAUCGCAGAUCAGCAACGCUGCGGUGAAUACGUUCCCGGGCCUUGUACACACCGCCCGUCAAGUCACGAAAGUU